Molecule: ribosomal RNA, 253 nt
Filed under: uncultured bacterium
Lineage: Bacteria
Description: partial 16S ribosomal RNA
Rfam family: Bacterial small subunit ribosomal RNA
Source: RNAcentral
UACGAAGGGGGCUAGCGUUGUUCGGAAUUACUGGGCGUAAAGCGCACGUAGGCGGAUAUUUAAGUCAGGGGUGAAAUCCCGGGGCUCAACCCCGGAACUGCCUUUGAUACUGGGUAUCUCGAGUCCGAGAGAGGUGAGUGGAAUUCCGAGUGUAGAGGUGAAAUUCGUAGAUAUUCGGAGGAACACCAGUGGCGAAGGCGGCAUCCUGGACCAUGACUGACGCUGAGGAGCGAAAGCCAGGGGAGCAAACGGG